AGUGCCUCCUCGCAGUUUCUCCCUUCCGUGAAGAUGUGCUUUCCCAGCAGGAACGUUGCAAUGAGGGAAACACAAUGCUCAGGACGCUCUCUGAGCUGCACGUGAGCAGACUGACAGGCAAUGACAAGAGGCUGAAGACGAAGCUCUUGUCAACACUAAAGACCUGCAUUGAAAAAUGCAAUCCAGAUUUCUUGGGAGACCAUCAGCAGGACGCCCAUGAGUUUUUGAUGGUCAGCCUGUCCCAUCUGAAAGAAGAGGGCGAGCUUCUGCGGAGCUACUGGC
Molecule: long non-coding RNA, 282 nt
Organism: Puntigrus tetrazona (Sumatra barb)
Lineage: Eukaryota; Metazoa; Chordata; Actinopteri; Cypriniformes; Cyprinidae
Exons: 3
Source: RefSeq, a predicted model, not a curated record